AUUGAACGCUGGCGGCAGGCUUAACACAUGCAAGUCGAGCGAGGGGCGGACGGGAGAGUAAUGUCUGGGAAACUGCAUGAUGGAGGGGGAUAACUACUGGAAAAGGUAGCUAAUACCGCAUACUAUCGGAGGAGCCCAGAUGGGAUUAGCGAGUAGGUGGGGUAAUGGUUCACCUAGGCGACGAUCCCUAGCUGGUCUGAGAGGGUGACCAGCCACACUGGAACUGAGACACGGUCCAGACUCCUACGGGAGGCAGCAGUGGGGAAUAUUGCACAAUGGGCGCAAGCCUGAUGCAGCCAUGCCGCGUGUGUGAAGAAGGCCUUCGGGUUGUAAAGCACUUUCAGUGAGGAGGCGUUACUCGCAGAAGAAGCACCGGCUAACUCCGUGCCAGCAGCCGCGGUAAUUC
This 406-nucleotide ribosomal RNA is filed under the name uncultured bacterium. RNAcentral describes it as "partial 16S ribosomal RNA". It matches the Rfam family "Bacterial small subunit ribosomal RNA", at positions 30 to 526 of the family's 1533-position model. The record is from RNAcentral.